ACCAUAGAGAAUGUGACAUGGACGCGGACAGUUUUGGCUGAUGUGAAAGUUCACAUCUUUGGCUCCUUCCAAAACAUCAAGAUGGCAAGAACUGCCGUUUGCAACCUAAUCUUGGGAAAUCCUCCUUCCAAGGUUUAUGGCAAUAUACGAGCUGUGGCUAGCAGAUCAGCAGAUCGGUUCUGAUUUCAAGUCAGAGACUUUUUAUCUUGCCUUUGGACUCUGGAGAAAAAUACUUUCUUUACGAGUGGUCACAAGAAACCAUCUGAAGAAUUUCAGUCAUUUGAAGCCUCCGUCUCUUUUUCUAUUCUCAGCUAGAAGCAUAAACAAAAAAGGAAGGUUUAAGAGUAUUCACACUCAAUAGGUUUUAGGAUAAUUUAAAUAUAAAAAAUUGAUUCUAUUAUACUUACACAUUAGGUAUAAUUUAUGAUUUCUUUAUUUAAAAUCACAUGUAGCAGAUUGCAUCAUUUAUAAUCCUCUCAGAGGGAAACUUCUUGUUUAAACAGCUCUAUGUGAAUUUAUACUUUUAUAUUUAUAAAUUUAAAACCAUAAAAAUUUAUAAACGUUUCUUCUUUAUAAAUUGCAAUUUAAUAGAUUAUUUCAGAAAAACCUCUUGGAAUGAUGACCUUCCUUAAUACUGGGUGAUAUGUGAAUAUUUUUUUGUAGGGGAAUGGGAUCUCACCUUGUCACCCAGGCUGGGGUGCAGUGGUGCAAACUCAGCUCACUGUAGCCUCUACCUCCUGGGUUCAAGUGAUCCUCCUGCCUCAGCCUCCCUAGUAGCUGGGACUAGAGGUGUGCACCACCUGCCUGGGUAAUUUUUUGUAUUUUUUGUAGAGAUGGGGUUUCACCAUGUUUGUCAGGCUGGUCUCGAAUUCCUGACCUCAAGGGAUCUGCUCGACUUGGCCUCCCAAAGUGCCGAGAUUACAGGCAUGAGCCACCGCACCCAGCCUUGAUGUGUGGAAUAUUUGAGAGGUCAUAAGCAGUGGUUUUGGUGAUACUAUACUAUAUGAAUCAGUAAGAGCUCAUCUUAGAACCUGUUUUGCAGUUUUAAAAAUUAAAGACCUACAUCAUAGGGUU
Molecule: long non-coding RNA, 1074 nt
Filed under: Homo sapiens (human)
Lineage: Eukaryota; Metazoa; Chordata; Mammalia; Primates; Hominidae
Description: non-protein coding lnc-C15orf41-13:1
Source: RNAcentral